AAGUUUAUCUUCCCAUCUAUCUAAAUUCUGUUUUGGGAUGUAAAUAUAAUUUGAAUUUAUUAUUAUUUUUUUUCAUGUGUGGAAUGAUUUUGCUUGUUUGAUACACGAGUUGAUUUAAUUAUUAUUCAUAAUAUUUGCUUUAAUUUUGGGUUAUUGUAGUUCGAGUGGAUUUCCCUCCUUUUUUUUCAGUUGAUUUCUUAGAAUAAUAGGUGAGAAUUUAACAGGAAAGACCUUCAAAACGACAAACAACUAUACCUUAUCAUGCUAAUGAUAACUUCCCAAUUGAAUUUAGGGCUUAAUCUAGCUCCAUCCGAGUUCUUUUACUGCUUCAGGUAAAGCACAAGUAUGGUAGAGAUAAAUUAUAUACAAAUACGGAAAUACCCUAUGCUUGGCAACAAAGUUUAUUUGUUGUAAUGUUGAAAAUGAUAUUAGGAACUAGGAAAUGUUAGAAUAAUACGUACUCUGUUCAAUAGGAAAUUCUGGGCGAUUUGAAACUUUCACUCCACUGGUUUCAUGGUUGCUUCAAUAGAUUUUCUUUUUCUUGUCUUGACAAAUAAUGAAAAAUUGAACAGUGAAUGACAGAAUAAAUUUCAAGAGUUGUACCUGAAUUUUAAGUGUUGUAAUAAAGAUGUCCCUAAUAUAAACCCUGAAUUUUAAAAUUUUCAUUGUAAAAUUUUUUUAAUUCCCAAUAGCCGGGUUGUAAAUAACACGAUAAUGUGGACAAUUGGCGAUAAUCAGUUGUUAUAUAUCUAACGCUUCAUUAUCCCAUAUGGCUGAGAUUAUUUCAUGGUUCAUUGUGAAGAAAAUCAUAGCCGAUUUUGACACUAUCACAUAGAGGAGAGAGAAUUGUCCAUGUCCUGCCACUAUGAAUUGUAUAAACAGACUAUAGGGAGUCAAAAUGAUUUUUUGUGCAAUAUUUUACAAUUUUAAAUUCAAUGAUCGCUCUGAUACAACUCCUAAAAUUAAGGGACAACUAUUGAAAUUUGUUCAUCAAUUACAGCAUGAAGACAGUAUUGAUGAUUGGGUUCUUUGCUUUUCCUACAUGAGUGCUUGUUAAAUAGUUUUCACUCCCUAAUGUUUUCACAUGCUUAAUCAUGCCAAAUAGUUUCUUUGCAACUUCAUUUUGUCUGGUAUAAAGUUGAGUGCAAAUUCUGAACUUAAGAAGUUUUCUCAACACAAUUGUUGAAAAGUUGAACUAUUGAAAUCUGAUUGCAGCCAAUUUCAGAUUGAAUCUUUGACAUAUAAGUUUUCAAUCUGUCCCUUUUAUUAAGGUAAU
This 1276-nucleotide unclassified non-coding RNA is filed under the name Hevea brasiliensis (rubber tree). The record is from RNAcentral. Lineage: Eukaryota; Viridiplantae; Streptophyta; Magnoliopsida; Malpighiales; Euphorbiaceae.